CUUGGUCAAUAUUGGUCCAGACAAACCUCUGCUAGCUCUAAACUCAUAUCUCUCUCUCUCUCUCUCCCUCUGCUCCUCCUCUCUCUCUACCUCUCUCUCUCCCUCUGCUCCUCCUCUCUCUCUACCUCUCUUACACUCUCUCUCUCUCCCUCUGAACCUCCUCUCUCUCUACCUCUCUCUCUUGCUCUCUGUCUCUCAAAACUUCUCUGUCUCUCAAAACAUCUCUCUCUCUACCUCUCUCUCUACCUUUCUACCUUUCUUAUACUCUGUCUCUCUCUCUACCUUUCUUACACGCUGUCUCUCUCUCUCUCUACCUCUCUCUCUUGCUCUGCUCCUCCUCUCUACCUCUCUCUCUCUCUCUACCUCUCUCUCUCCCUCUGCUCCUCCUCUCUCUCUACCUCUCUCUCUACCUUUCUUACACUCUGUCUCUCUCUCUCUCUACCUCUCUCUCUCCCUCUGCUCCUCCUCUCUCUCUACCUCUCUCUCUUGCUCUCUGUCUCUCAAAACUUCUCUGUCUCUCAAAACAUCUCUCUCUCUACCUCUCUCUACCUCUCUCUCUACCUUUCUCUCUACCUUUCUUACACUCUGUCUCUCUCUCUCUCUCUCUCUCUCUACCUCUCUCUCUACCUCUCUCUACCUUUCUUACAUUUUGUCUCUCUCUCUACCUCUCUCUCUUGCUCUCUGUCUCUCAAAACAUCUCUUCUCUCUCUCUACCUCUCUUGCUUUCUGUCUCUAUCUCUCUCUCUCUACCUCUCUCUCUACCUCUCUCUCUUGCUUUCUGUCUCUAUCUCUCUAUCUUCACCUAGAAAGCAGCUGAAGGUGAGGUUCUGGCGUCGAGUGCAACCCCAGGAGACUCUGUUCACCAUUCACAGGACCCCUGAACUCUCAACUCUGACCCCUUCACCCUCUCACCUAGCAGUCCACAGCAGAGGGACGAAGAUCUGGGAGGAGAGAGGAAAUGCGAGAAAUGGAGAAGAGGGAGGCCAAGAAACGAGGAGGAGAGAGAUAGAAUUGGGAUGA
This 1020-nucleotide long non-coding RNA is filed under the name Salmo trutta (river trout). Its description in RNAcentral is "lncRNA (ENSSTUG00000021602.1)". The record is from RNAcentral. Lineage: Eukaryota; Metazoa; Chordata; Actinopteri; Salmoniformes; Salmonidae.